AUGAACAACAACAUUGUUAACCUUUCAACCACACCACCAUUUCUCAUCGCCUUCCGAUUCCGUAAUUUUCUCCGAUCUGUCACUUCUAAUUUUCCACACAGCACCAUCAAUACAGCUUUCGCGAUUUCCAGCAACUCCCCCCUCUGUCCGCGAAACAAUUGUAACUACAUCAUCAAUGUUUUCGAAAUUUUCGAUAACUCUUUCCAUUUUCUUAAUUGCUAUGCUAUUUGA
This is a non-coding RNA of Vicia faba (fava bean), 231 nucleotides long. Lineage: Eukaryota; Viridiplantae; Streptophyta; Magnoliopsida; Fabales; Fabaceae. The record is from the annotation of a GenBank genome assembly.